RNAcentral lists this long non-coding RNA (1770 nucleotides) under Triticum aestivum (bread wheat). Its description in RNAcentral is "long non-coding RNA (TAES_LNC001876)". The record is from RNAcentral. Lineage: Eukaryota; Viridiplantae; Streptophyta; Magnoliopsida; Poales; Poaceae.
GACGGGCGCACAUGGGAGGGCGGCAAAUCGAUGGUGGCGCAGGUGAGGUUAGCUUGAGAUCUGAGACAUUAGCGAGUCUAUUUUUUCUUUUCUUUUUUCUUUCAGAGGUAAGCGUACAGUCGUCACAAGAGAUUAUUAAGAAGAUAAUACCUUGAGUGCAGCCGCGUAAUCUGAAACUUCAUAAGUCCAUCUGCUAAUGACUUUAAUUAUUACUAUGUUAGGGAGACUAUCAAGGAAUAUAUCAAAAGGUUGCAGCAGCAAGCUGCAGUGUUGUUGUGUGUUUAGUCAGUCUGAAAAACUGUAGAUGCUUGCAUUUUGAUGACUACUAAUGCUAUCUGCUUUGUCAAUCUGAAUGAUUCAUCAUGUGCAGCGAUAAAUAGAAGUUAACUGUGAGAUGUCAUAUUGCUAAAUUGUGGCAAUAAAAUAUUCAGAACAACCUGAGCUGAUUACGGGAAGCAUACUUGUUCUGUUUGCUUAAUACAUUAAUUUGGUUCUGCAUGCAACAGGGUCACAUGCAAGAUUACGGGAAGCAUAUAACCUGAGCUCUACGAGGGUAUGAGCUAACAGCACCUGAUCAAGUGGCUCAUUAGAAGGAAUACAUUAACAGUGCUGCACCCUUUUUUUGGCCAUAUAUACAUAGGUGCCAACAAUUUUUGGUUGUUGUAAUUCACAAGAAGGACUGACUCAUCGUACUAACAACAUGAUGCCACUAGUUAAUGCAAGUCUUAAUCUGUAGUAAUCGAUUUGCUUCAUGUUUUAGUUUUUACCUUAUCAAUAAACAGUGACACAAGUACUUCUGUACGUACUUUAUUUGAUUUAGCAUUCAGUUAUUCACUUUCAGUACAUCAACAUUCACUUAGUUAAUUUAAUUGUACUUUGUAUAGCCUUUGUGCACACUUCUAACUAUAUCUGUAUAGGUUAUCACGAUGAGUCAUCACAGGUAUGGAAACUUGACAGCAUUAGCUCCGGAAAGAUGCCUUCUACUCACAGUUGAACAAGUCUGCACUGAUACAAGGUAUUGCUAGGUGGACCUUGCCAGAGCAAUCAAGUAAAUUAGCAGAUUUCAACAGGAAAAGGGUUACUCACAGGCCUCAUAAGCAAUAUGAGGAACCCGGGAAGAAGUACAAGUUAGCUACAAAAGGUACUACACAAACAUAAAAAUAUUAUUCAAGUAUCUUCUACGGGAUGAUAUAAUGUGGUUGCUUUUUUUCAUAGAUGGAAAUGAUGCGCCAACAAAUACACCAAUCUUGUUUAGUACAAAAUGGGAUGCAGAUGAUUCCAAAAGUGCGUUUCUAAGAAUUAUGUAUUUUACCAAUAAUUGUUUCUACGCUUUAUUGUCUUCUAGUCACUCAUAACAUAUUGCAACUAUGAAUGAUGAAGUUGAUGCCAGCAAUGACGAUGACAUGGGAAAUGAUAUGAUGAAGUUCAUACAUUCAUUAUACUAUUAUACUUUGUGUCAAUUUAUUUAGAAGACUGACUUUCAUAAACUACUCAACAUUUUGUAGGACUGAUGGUCCACCAUAAUAUGUAGAAGCAACAGGAGGGAUAGCUGAUGAAGAAUGAUAUCCAUUCAAACAAUGGUGGUGUUCCUCAAGUGAAGAUUAAUAUUUUUUUCUUUUCUAGUUGUCUCAUUUUCCAGAUAGAUAUUAUCAAGUACAUUGGUUAUAUAAGGAAUGAUUUUGACUCCAUUUCUUAAAUGAUAUUUUAAUUCCAGAAUUGUAUGUCGGAAUAUUGGUAUGUCUAUUAAUAAAAGUGGCUAUGAUCUUUUCA